Molecule: ribosomal RNA, 265 nt
Filed under: uncultured archaeon
Lineage: Archaea
Description: partial 16S ribosomal RNA
Rfam family: Archaeal small subunit ribosomal RNA
Source: RNAcentral
AGGGUGUAAACGCUGCAGACUUGGUGUUGGAGGCCCUUUGGGGGCGAUUCAGUGCCGGAGAGAAGUUGUUAAGUCUGCUACUUGGGGAGGUACGUCCGCAAGGAUGAAACUUAAAGGAAUUGGCGGGGGGAGGCACCACAACAGGUGGAGCCUGCGGUUUAAUUGGAUUCAACGCCGGACAUCUCACCGGAUAAGACAGCUGAAUGAUUGUCAAUCUGAAGGUUUUACAUGACUAGCUGAGAGGUGGUGCAUGGCGUAGACGUCU